RNAcentral lists this transfer RNA (76 nucleotides) under Gammaproteobacteria bacterium. RNAcentral describes it as "tRNA-Lys". It matches the Rfam family "tRNA". From Rfam's summary of the family: Transfer RNA (tRNA) molecules are approximately 80 nucleotides in length. The record is from RNAcentral. Lineage: Bacteria; Pseudomonadati; Pseudomonadota; Gammaproteobacteria.
GGGGCGUUAGCUCAGUUGGUAGAGCACCGGGCUUUUAACCUGAUGGUCGAUGGUUCGAAUCCAUCACGCCCCACCA